RNAcentral lists this ribosomal RNA (254 nucleotides) under uncultured bacterium. RNAcentral's name for it is "partial 16S ribosomal RNA". It matches the Rfam family "Bacterial small subunit ribosomal RNA", at positions 524 to 776 of the family's 1533-position model. The record is from RNAcentral.
UACGUAGGGUGCGAGCGUUAAUCGGAAUUACUGGGCGUAAAGCGUGUGUAGGCGGUUGUUUAAGUUUGGUGUGAAAUCUCCCGGCUCAACUGGGAGGGUGCGCCGAAUACUGAAUGACUUGGAGUGCGGGAGAGGUGAGUGGAAUUCCUGGUGUAGCGGUGAAAUGCGUAGAUAUCAGGAGGAACACCGGUGGUGUAGACGGCUCACUGGACCGUAACUGACGCUGAGACACGAAAGCGUGGGUAGCAAACAGG